UUCCAUGGUUGUACUUGGCUUUCAAUAGGAUGAUCAGUCCUUUUGACUCAGAGAACCAAGAGCAAGUUUGUAUGUGCAGGUCCCAUCCAAAUCUGCUGAAACCCUCUUCAAAUAUAUUGCUCCUGAACAAGUACCGGUUCAAUAUGGUGGACUGAGCUGAGAAGGUGAACAAGAGUUCACUGUGGUGGAUGUCGUAACAGAGGUGACAAUCAAGCCAGCAACCAAGCACACCAUUGAAUUCCCUAUAACUGAGACCUUCUGGUUUGGGAGCUCCGAGUUGUGGGAUGGAAUGUCAACUAUGGAGCCGAAUUAGUGCCGACGGCUGAAGACGGAUACACCGUGAUCGUGUC
Long non-coding RNA from Hibiscus syriacus, 350 nucleotides. RefSeq lists it as uncharacterized. The record is from RefSeq and is a predicted model, not a curated record. The transcript is spliced from 3 exons. NCBI's taxonomy places the organism in Eukaryota, Viridiplantae, Streptophyta, Magnoliopsida, Malvales, Malvaceae.